UUCCCUUUCUAGAUAUGAUAUCAAGAGCGCAUUGGAAAAACACUUUGCUUCAUGUGGUGACAUCUCCAGGGUUUUUGUUCCGUUUGAGUGUCGAACCGGAGUACCUUUGGGGUUUGUGACUUCUUAAUUAGUUCCUCCAAUAUAUAUUUUUCUUUGACAACUCGAAAGUUACGUGUGAAUAUUUACUUGCUUUUCUUCUUUGGUUUUCAGAUGUGCUUACAUUAAUCUGAUGGACCCAAAGAAGGCGUUAACACUAGAUGGAAGUUACUUGGGACCUUCUAAGCUUGAGGUUGUGAUUUCUGGCACCACACCUAUAGGCUUUUAUAACUUUAAAGGUUGCGGACGUUGUAUACUUAUUCUGAAGAGGCGCAACUUCCGCCGCUUUGUGGAUACUCGUGUUGGUCGUGUAACGCCCUGGUACAACAUUAGUUAAUUUGUUCUUGUUUUAUUGAAUCGAACGUUACUUGUUGUUAAUUUUGUUGUCAUCUUUUUUGCUCUCUUUGAUAUUAUAUUUCAGGACACCCGAGUUAGCCCGUUGGAUGAGUGAAACAAACAAAAUGAUCGAAGCGGAAAACAAGGGCUAAUAAACAUAAUUACAGUUCACACGUCAUAUGUCCCACUUUUUGUGUAAAUCAUGGGAAACUAAAGUCUGUAUUAACUAACGAAACUAAAGACGGUUCAUAAACGCUAAGUCUGUAUUAACUAACGGAACAUAUCCAAUAGAAGCCCAGACCCACAAAAGCAACAUCUGUAUUAAUAUCUUUAGAAAACAUAUCCAAACGAAGCCCAAACCCACACAAGCCCAGCUUAAAGAUUAUAAAAGCCAGCGAUUUACAGAAAACCUAGCAGCCGCUUUUCUCUCGUUACGCCGUUAGGGUUUUGUUUAUCACUUCUCAUGGAGAACGAAAAACAGAAAGAGAACGAGAACUUUAACGAGGUAAUAUCAACUUCUUCUUCUAAUAUGUUUCUUCUUCACUCGCAAAACUUUCUUUACCUUCUACUUAUUCACUUUCGGUUGUUUUUAGGGUGAAGAAACCUCGCAAAAUGGUAAGAAAUUACUUCCAAUCUUUCGUUUUUGUUUUUUGUUGUAUUUGUGUUCCUUUGAAUAAGGUUCUGAUGUGUUACAUUCUUUUUUUCUCUGCUGAGAAAGAUGGUUCGGACCAAGAGGCUACCCUGAAGAACAAAAGGAAUAUCUCUGAUCUUUCGCAAAAACGUAAGUCGCUACAGUCAUUUGAUUUAUGAUGAGAUUUACUUGUUUUGUUGCAUUUCUUUUGUCUGUAUAUUUUGAUUUUUGACGAGUUUUUUUUUUUUCAUUUCUUUCAGCUUAUGAAGAUGAUGCGGAACAAGAGAAGAAGAAAAGGAAGAUCUCUGAUCUUUCGCAAAAACGUAAGUCGCUGCAGUCAUUUGAUUUAUGAUGAGAUUUACCUGUUUUGUUGCAUUUCUUGUGUCUGGUAUCUUUUGAUUUUUGAUGAGUUAUUUUUUUUUUUUUGCAUCUCUUUCAUCUGAUGAAGAUGAUGAAAAAGAAGAUCUCCAAAAGGUAUGAAUUCAAUGUUUUUUUUUGCUCUCGUGGAUUUGAAAACUUCAGUCAAAUCAUUGGAUUUGCUAUAGCCUCAUGCAUCUGUUUUAAAUGUAUAGGAAUCAGUUGACUGGUCCUCAAGUAGUACUGAACAUGAGUUUGAAGGAUUUGUACAUCCAUCUGUCAUUUGCAUUGGACAGAUGGUUAAGCAUAUAACUGAAAAUGAAAUGUAAUUAUCACUAUCUCAGUAAUAUUUUCAUUGUUUGAUUGAUCAUUUUUGUAUGUUGUUUAAUAUUUGUUAUUUUUUGCAGCAAGGAUUUUUUUAUAAACAUUGCUGAAGUAACAUCUGUGAAACUCCAGCCACCAAAGCCUGAUGGUGAGAUGCAGGCUUUGGUUUUCUUUGAAACUGAUGAAGAAGCACAAGCGGCCCUGAGUUUAAACGGAAAAGAUCUCCUUGGAAAAUCGGUCUAUAUUACACGUUGCAGCAAGGGGUAAUUAGAUUUUUUACACUUUUUCUUUUGUAUCUAAUUUUUGGAAUUGUAAUUUACAAGUUUUUUAUUGGCAGGCUCUUGACCCUGUGUGUUACCGGUUUUAAUUCCCAGUUAACUGAGGAUGAUAUUCUUGAAGAAGUUUUUCACCAGUUGUCUGAUCUAGAGCCAAAAUGGGAGGUGGAAGGUCAUGUAUUUCUUCCUAAAUCCGUUGAAACCGAUUCUAAUCUUGGGUAUGUAAUUUUCCAUUAUUUUGAAAUUUGUGACUUUUAUAAUGGUUUUGACAAGGUGUAUCUGUUAUAAUUGCAGACUUUUUUACUUAAUUGUAAAGCCCCCUGAUGACACAGACUGGACUUCUCAUGCUGUUUACGAAUAUUUUAGUGGGAAAAAUAUAACUGUCAGUGAUGCUAUAAUCAACAUUUAUAAAGCUGAUCUAAGGGCAUGGGUCCUUCGGUCUAUAAUGGUACUAAGCAAUCAUUCUUUAUAUAGCUAUGAAAAUUUAAACUAUAUUCAUGUAUAGAUGUUGACUUGUUCUUUUUGCAGGAUGGUGAUAUACCAAAUCUCCAAGGAAAGGUAAUUAUUUUAAAACUCUUCUUUUUUUAAUGUAUACCUUUUUAAAGUUCUCUUUCUUAUCAUGUUUCUGCUAUAUUUAACUAGAUUGCUGCUUUGAGAACUUCAAUUGAAGAAAACAGUCAAAGAAUAUAUGACAAAGAGGUACAAUGUCUCUCUGUAUUUAUUUAUUUGUUUAUGAGAAAUGAAUUACGAUCUGCAAUAAGUUCACUGUUCACUUUCAUUUAUGAGAAUUAUAAUCUGAAAUCAGUUAGCUGUGCAUUUUUGCUUAAUAGAAUGAUAAUACAAAAUUAUCAUCUGCAUAUAGAUAAGUCACUGUUUGCUUUUGUUUAUAAGAAAGAUAAUUCUCUGUUCACUUUCAUUUGUGAGAAUGGUAACAUCAUCACUCUAGUUUGUUUGAAUGAGAAUUUUAAAUAUGUUGGCUGUUCAUCUUUGUGGAAAGAGAAAUAUAAACUGCAAUAUGUUAACUGUUUGCUAUGGUCUGUGUGAAUUAUAAUAUGAAAAUUGCACCCUGUUCCUUUUUGUUAACUGUUUGCUAUGGUCCUUUUUGUUUAUGUUAACUGUUUGCUAUGGUCUGUGUGAAUUAUAAUAUGAAAAUUGCACCCUGUUCCUUUUUGUUUAUAAUACGAAUUAUUAUCAACAGUCAGUUCACUGUUCACUUUCUUUAAUGAUAAGAAAAAAUUAUAAUCUGGGUAUAGUUCACUGUUUGCUUUGGUUUAUGUUCUCUGUUCACUUCCGUGGAAAGAGAAAACUGCAAUAUGUUAACUGUUCGCUAUCAUCUAUGAGAAUUAUAAUAUGAAAGUUAUAUCCUGUUUCUUUUUGUUUCUGAGGAUACGAAUUAUUAACAGCAAUCAGUUCAUUGUAUUUUUUUUUAAUAAUCAGGAGCCAUUUUCUUGGAGGGAGAUCCAUCCAGAAUUUUUUUCUGACUAUAUUCAGUUAGCAGGUAAGGACAAAACUUAUAUAUUAUAAUGUGUUGUAAAUUUUUUAUCAACACAACUGAUUCAUGUUCUUUUAUGAUUAGAUGAGUGUUGGGCAGUAAUACUAUACAGAGGAUAUUUCGCAGCGUUUUUUAUGGAAAAUUCUAGAAGCUGUGAACUUGAUGUUUGCACAAUCAUCAAAGGAGUAGACGCUAGGUAUAAACUCUCUGGAGGUGGGAUUGUCAGCAUGGAUCAUGCAAAACCUUUUAUGUUGGAGCACGCAAGAGAUCUAAAAUUCCAUCACCGGCCGAAAAAGAAUCAUGAUGAAAGAGAUUUUGAAGCGUUUGAGAAACGAAUCAUAGGACUGGCCAGGAGAGUUCCAGUUGGCACUAUGUUAGACUUUCUUCCAAGUAUGGAAGAAUGGGAUGGCAAUGUAAGUAAAUGCAUUUGUAUAUCUUCAUAUCUGUAUUUGUUUAAUUCAGUUUUUGUUUUAAGCUGACUACAUAACUUUGGUUUCAGAGUAUAUUUGUUCCUACGGAGAUUGAUUUAAUCCGAAAGUUUUUGGAGAAAUUACCUUACCACGGCUAUUUCGUAUCUGGUAUUGAUUCGGAAAACGGAAUUGAUUUUUGGAAAGGACAAGAUUCCGGUGGAAGAGAUUUUGGGGAUCAAGGUUUUGUAAGGAUUGCCCGUCACUAUCGUCUGAUAAAACAGGUUUUUGAGUUCACGGUAAUGAAGUUAAUAUGUCCAUUUCGUUUAUGUGAAUGAAUUUUUGUGAAAUAGUAUAUGAGUUUAUGGUAAUUUUCUGUGCUUUUGUAUUUGUUUCAGGUCUGAUAGGGUACACGUUGGAACAACUUUUUUGUGUACAUAACGCGGAAGUUGAAGUAAUUAGUUUUUAAUCGGUCACUAUUGUUGAUUUUUUUAUCAACUGCAACUUCGGAUUAUAUAAUCAUGUUUUUAACAACGGGAACUUACAUAUCCUAUCUUUUUUAUUGUCAGAGCUCUUCUAUUAAUAUUUGUAUUGGAUUCGGUUUGGCAUUGUUGGAUAUUAUUUGGGCCGGUUGUAGUGUUUUUAAGUUCGAUCUUCUUUGUUCAACGUAAUAUUGGUAUUGGAUUUGGUUCGGCAUUGUUUUAAGUUUGAUCUUCCUUGUUCAACGUUGGCCCGAUAUUCUCUUUCUUAUUUGUUCGUAGACAAAUUGCAGUUGUUUUUACUUUAUUGACCGACUUAUUUGGUAGCAAAAACUUUGAUCAAAUAGUUAGUAAAUAUGUACUUUUAUUAUUCGUACUCGUGUGUCAAAACUCUAAUCUCCCAUGCGUAUGAAAAUAAUUCGACUUGUAUUUUUGUUAUAUACUCGUGAAUACAAAUGUUAGGAAAAUUUCCACAUUUAGUAAACGAUCACUGAGCUGAUAUUUUAUCUUCGAAUAGUUUUAUUUUUUACAGUGAAUUUGCAUUUUUGUCUUUACAAUUCAAUGUUUCUGCGUAAAUUAUGAAAAUCAAUUACGUAAUCCAUGGAAGAUGAAAUCGGCAUAAAGAAUUAUGGCAAAUCAUUUAGCGUACGCUGGGUGGUGUAAAUAACAUUGAACCAAAUAAGUGGUAAGAUCACAAAAGGUUUUGUGAAUUUUAAACACGAUGCGACGCACCACUUUACUCUACGUGUUAUACUCAUGGAGAAUUUUUAAAAUAUGUUUUUUGCUUCAGUUAAGUCAUAUGCUUGUUCUAAUGUUCUCUUUUCUUUUCUCUUUUCUGGACAAGGGACUACGGAUGUUAUCAUGGACUUGUCCGGUUUGUUUAUGUUCGUCCAUUUACGUUCGUGUUCAUUUAUGUAUGUUUAAGUUUGUAAUAUGUUUAUGUCCGACCAUUUAAAACAUGCUGGACAAUAAUGUCUAUGUACGUAUGUUGAUUUUUUAACAAUCUUUGUGUAUUUCGUAUUUUAAAUCUAGUAGGUAAAUACCCACAUUAUGUUGCGGAAAUAGUAUUAUAUUUUUCUUAAUUUAUUUUAAUAUAAAAAUUUAAUGUUUUUAUUUUUUAUAAAUAAUUAUGGAUAUGUUUUUAAGAGAAUUACUAGGGAUGGAAAACGCAAAUCUUCAAAUAAGAAAAUGGAAUUAGUCUAAUUGAUAAUUUGUGUGCUAAUAAUGCCGAUAGAAAAGAAGAAAACCAGCGUGUAAUGUGUGAGCGUGUAUGAACGGUCGAUUUUUGCCCUUAAGACUGUAUUAAACUGACGAAACAUAUCCAAUAGAAGCCCAGACCCACAAAAGCAACAUCUGUAUUAAUAUCUUUAGAAAACAUAUCCAAACGAAGCCCAAACCCACACAAGCCCAGCUUAAAGAUUAUAAAAGCCAGCGAUUUACAGAAAACCUGGCAGCCGCUUUUCUCUCGUUACGCCGUUAGGGUUUUGUUUGUCACCUCUAAUGGAGAACGAAAGACAGAAAGAGAACGAGGUAAUCUCUACUUCUCAUCUCUCCAUGAGCAAGCGGCUUAAGAAAUGCUCUGCAUCCACCGAUGUAAUAAUUUUCUGCUCCUUAUUGCCUCGUUCCUUACUCCAGUCUCUGACUAAUUUUGUUCUGUAGUAAAGAUUUUUUCUCAUUUUAACCGGAGUUUAAUCUUGUUUUUGAAUUUUUUUUAGGUUAGGGAUACAACGGAGCCUUCGCAGAAUGGUAAGAAAUUAUAUAAUAUUUUUUAUUUUUUUUUAUGCAUGUGAUUAUUGAAGAAAACCGGAAUUUUGAAUUAGAUAUAUGAGUUCUCUGUUUAUGGCAUGGGUCUAAUUCUUAUGUAGAAGAAACAGACAUACAAUAAUUUAUCUCUUUUAUAUUUGAAUGAGAAUUAUAAUGUUCUUUUUGUUCAGUUGCUGGGAAAGAGUUGAAUGAUGAUUCAGAAGUAAUACUGAAGAAGCAAAAAAAGGUAAUGAUCUGUGGAACCGAGAGAAUUCACACCUUACUCGCUAGGAUAAUGAAAUCCUGCUACUGAAAAUCUCACUCUUGCUGCCUUUCUUCCGAAAGAAUUUUUUGAAGCUACAGAAACAUUUUUGCAUACAAAAACGCAUUUGCAUGAUAGUUUGUUGAAGGGGAACCUAGAAACUUUACACUUGGUAUUUGUCAUUUAAUUGACCAUCCAUGCAUGAUUGAUCUUUGUGUAGCUAUAUUUGCUUUUUUUAUCCCCCGAUCCUUUUACAAAUUCCAAAAAGAUCUCCUUAGUUGCUUUGUUUAUGGAAAUAAAAACCUUCUUCUUCUCUAAGCAGUCCAGUACUUUUAGAGCUCAUCAUGUUGUUUAGUCUGCUUUAACUUGACGUGCUUCUCUUUAAAAUUAAGAAGAAUUCCAUCAUCUUUAAACCUCACUGACUAUACUUUUCACUUUGUGCUCAAUAAUUUUCAUUCAUUGACCUGAUUGACGUUGAACCAUAUAUUUUGUGCAGGAAAGUGGUCAUGAAAAUGAAAAAACUGCAUUGAAAAAGGUACUUAAGCUACAUCUUCAUUACUUUUUUAAUGAAAAUGUUCUUUUACUAUUAGUUUAUUCAAUAGAGCUUCUUUAUUUUUGUCAACCUCCUAUACUACUGAUCAAUUGACUCAAGGCAUUAUAUUUUUGAAAAAGGUGGAAGAACAUGAUUGCAUUUACGGCAAUGAAGAAGAGGCUUUUGGAAACAAUCAGCGUACCAUAUACGUUAAGGGAUUAGAUUGUUCCCUUUCUAGAUAUGAUAUCAAGAGCGCAUUGGAAAAACACUUUGCUUCAUGUGGUGACAUCUCCAGGGUUUUUGUUCCGUUUGAGUGUCGAACCGGAGUACCUUUGGGGUUUGUGACUUCUUAAUUAGUUCCUCCAAUAUAUAUUUUUAUUUUCUUUGACAACUUAAAAGCUAAGUGCAAACGUACGUGUGAAUAUUAUCUUGCUUUCUUCUUUGGUUUUCAGAUGUGCUUUCAUUAAUCUGAUGGACCCAAAGAAGGCGUUAGAACUAGAUGGAAGUUACUUGGGACCUUCUAAGCUUGAGGUUGUGAUUUCUGGCACCACACCUAUAGGCUUUUAUAACUUUAAAGGUUGCGGACGUUGUAUACUUAUUCUGAAGAGGCGCAACUUCCGCCGCUUUGUGGAUGCUCGUGUUGGUCGUAUAAUACCCUGGUACAACAUUAGUUAAUUUGUUCUUGUUUUAUUGAAUCGAACGUUACUUGUUAUUAAUUUUGUUGUCAUCUUUUUUGCUCUCUUUGAUAUUAUAUUUCAGGA
Molecule: long non-coding RNA, 7695 nt
Filed under: Capsella rubella
Lineage: Eukaryota; Viridiplantae; Streptophyta; Magnoliopsida; Brassicales; Brassicaceae
Description: long non-coding RNA (CRUB_LNC001079)
Source: RNAcentral